GUGCUACAAUAGUUUGGUAUAUCUAACUACUAACUAACUGGGGAGAUUUAUACAGAAGAUUAUUGUUAAAUUGGAUUUUCAGGGAGAAGUAAUUUACCAAGAAGAAACAAUGAAGGCAGCAAAGAUGGAGAGAAAGGGAAGACACUGGAAAAGGAAGGCUCUCCCUGGUGCCUUGUCCAUCAUACGUGAUGAAGCUAUCCUCACAGGCAGUACAUUUUCAUCUGACCUUCUCAGCACAUGGAAGUCUACCACAGAGUAAAAGCCAACUAUGUGUGAAAUACUGUGUCAGAUGCUAUGAAGAUGAAAAGUGUCUCCUCCGAUAGCUCACCAUCAGUGAGGUUGGCUUCAAUCUUUUCUAGACACCUCUUCAAAACUUCUAGGUAAAGGCAAUUUGCUUCUCCGAAAACCUUACCCCUACCCAUUGCGGAAAUCCAACCCCUUUCUCAAUUCAUUUUUCCCCCCACCUGAGUCUGUUAUUCCAUCCCAGAUGUGCAGUAAUAUAAAGGGUGUUGAA
RNAcentral lists this long non-coding RNA (514 nucleotides) under Mustela putorius furo (domestic ferret). Its description in RNAcentral is "lncRNA (ENSMPUG00000029324.1)". The record is from RNAcentral. Lineage: Eukaryota; Metazoa; Chordata; Mammalia; Carnivora; Mustelidae.